This 68-nucleotide transfer RNA is filed under the name Columbicola passerinae. RNAcentral describes it as "tRNA-Met". The record is from RNAcentral. Lineage: Eukaryota; Metazoa; Arthropoda; Insecta; Psocodea; Philopteridae.
AAUAGGAAAGGCUAUGAGUAAGCCAGCAGAUUCAUGCUCUGAGGAAACCUAAAUGGUUCUUUCUUUUA